RNAcentral lists this non-coding RNA (23 nucleotides) under Arabidopsis thaliana (thale cress). The record is from RNAcentral. Lineage: Eukaryota; Viridiplantae; Streptophyta; Magnoliopsida; Brassicales; Brassicaceae.
GGUGAAUUUUGUGAACUUGCCUA